AUGUGUAUCUGUCGCCAUGCGAGAGAAUUAUAUUUUCCCCAGUUUCAUACAUGGCGCAACCUAGGCCAAGUGUAUAGAAGCCAUCGUCGGGCGAUGUGUUGUGUCGUCGGGCGACAAUCACGGAUCAGAAGUUUCUUUAUAUUUCCUUUUCAUUUCUUUUGGAGAGGGAUGGUUUUGGGGAAAUUUUUGCUCCCAACUCCAUCAAUCUUUAAUUUUGUUAGGCUUAGCUUAGAUAACAACUUUGGAGCUUCGAUCGACACUGAUAAACUAAAAGAUUUGCGGUUCAUUUCUCUUUUUCUUUGUGUAUUCUCUAUUCAUUGGGUUUGUAUGUAUAUUUUCUUUGAACUCAUGUAUAUUUGUCGCCCUUGGCGUUAUAUAAAACUUGCUUUACAAAUAUUUGUCGAUUGUUAUCCUAGA
Molecule: non-coding RNA, 417 nt
Organism: Vicia faba (fava bean)
Lineage: Eukaryota; Viridiplantae; Streptophyta; Magnoliopsida; Fabales; Fabaceae
Source: the annotation of a GenBank genome assembly